GGGGGUAAAUUAAUAAAAUAUAAAUAAUAAAAAAAUUUUUAAUAUUGGGGGGUAUUAAAGUAUUUUUUUAAAAAAAAAUAAAUUAUUUUAUAGUUAAUUAGUAUUGAAAAAGAAAUUUGAAAUAAUUGAAAAUGAAUUAAUGAAAAAGUAAUUUUUAUUUGAUGUAUCUUGUGUAUCAGAGUUUAUAAAAAAAUAUUUUUUUUAUAAAGAAAUCUCGAAUUUAAAAGAGUUAAUUAAUUAUAAAAGUUAAUGUAGAAAAAUUAUUUUAAAUAAUUAAUUUGAAAUGAAAUGUUAAUCGUUUUUGAAGAUAUCUAGUUAUUUUAGAAAAAAAUUUAAUUUAAAAUUUAAAAAAUUUUAUUUUUAAUUAUAAUUAAAAAUAAAAUUUUAAAAUUAAAUAUAUUAAGGGAUAAGCUUUAAUAUAAAAUUUUAUAAUUAAAAUUAAAGUUAAAUAAAAAUUUUAAAAUUUAUAUUGUUUAAAAAUUAUAAUUUAUUAUAAAAAAAUUUUAUUUAAAAUAAAAUUUAAUAAAAAUUUAAUUUUUUAUAAAAUAAUAAUAAAAAUAAUAAAAAAUUAAAAAUAAUGAUAAAAUUAGUAUAUUAAUUUAAAAUAUAAUUUAAUUAAUAAAAAUUAAAUUAAAGGAAUUCGGCAAAAUUUUAUAUUCACUUGUUUAUCAAAAACAUGUCUUUUAGAAAAUAAUUUAAAGUCUAAUCUGCCCACUGAUAUUAUAUUAAAGGGCUGCAGUAUAUUGACUGUACAAAGGUAGCAUAAUUAAUAGUCUUUUAAUUGAAGACUUGUAUGAAAGAUUGGAUGAAAUAUUAACUGUCUCUAAUUUAAAAUUAAAAUUUAAUUUUUUAGUUAAAAAGCUAAAAUAAUUUUAAAAGACGAGAAGACCCUAUAGAGUUUUAUAUUGAAAUUAUUUAAGAUUAUAUGUAUAUAUAAAAAUUAAAAAUAAAAUGAAUAUUUUAUUGGGGUGAUAAAAAAAUUAAUUUAACUUUUUUUUCUAUAAAACAUAAAUAAGUGAAUAAAUGAUCCAUUUUUAAUGAUUAAAAGAAAAAAUUACCUUAGGGAUAACAGCGUAAUAUUUUUUUUUAGUUCAAAUAAAAAAAAAAGUUUGCGACCUCGAUGUUGGAUUAAGAUAAAAUUUAAAUGCAAAAGUUUAAAAUUUUGAUCUGUUCGAUCAUUAAAAUCUUACAUGAUCUGAGCUCAAACCGGUGNNAGCCAGGUUGGUUUCUAUCUUUAAAAUAAGUAUAUAAAUAUUUUAGUACGAAAGGAUCAAAUAUUUUUAAUAAUUAAAAUUUAAUGAAUAUUAUUAAUUAAAAUUUA
RNAcentral lists this ribosomal RNA (1321 nucleotides) under Athyma asura (studded sergeant). RNAcentral's name for it is "16S ribosomal RNA". Lineage: Eukaryota; Metazoa; Arthropoda; Insecta; Lepidoptera; Nymphalidae. The record is from RNAcentral.